UCAGUUCCUUGCAUGUCCUGCAUUACAGGGAAUGGCCCAGAGGUUCAAAUGUCCUUCAUAGAUAAGGAAUGAGUCUCCAAGUUGGCCACUCACAAUUUCUUAUGUGGAGACUCUGACCAACACAUUCUUCUUAGACCAUAGAGUCAUUCUCAGGCUAUGCUUCAGUUAUUACUAUCAGAAGAGGUAAUUUGGACACACAAAGAAAUACCAGGGAUGCUCAUAUAUGGAGGAAAAAACCAUGUGAGAACACAAGGAAAGUGGCCAUCUGCAAGCCAAGGAGAGGGGCCUCAGAAAAAAAAACCAGCUGACACCUUGAUCUUGGACUUCUCGCCUCCAGAACGAUGGAAUCUCACUCUGUGGCCCAGACUGGAGUGCAGUGGUGUGAUCUUUGCUCACUGCAACCUCCACCUCCCAGGAUGAAGUGAUUCUCCCCUGUCAGCGUCCCAAGCAGCUGUUAUUACAGGCAUGCACCAUCACACCCAACUAAUUUUGUAUUUUUAGUAGA
Long non-coding RNA from Symphalangus syndactylus (siamang), 505 nucleotides. RefSeq lists it as uncharacterized. The record is from RefSeq and is a predicted model, not a curated record. NCBI's taxonomy places the organism in Eukaryota, Metazoa, Chordata, Mammalia, Primates, Hylobatidae.